This 1115-nucleotide ribosomal RNA is filed under the name Anopheles sinensis. Its description in RNAcentral is "eukaryotic LSU rRNA". It matches the Rfam family "Eukaryotic large subunit ribosomal RNA", at positions 1 to 824 of the family's 3401-position model. The record is from RNAcentral. Lineage: Eukaryota; Metazoa; Arthropoda; Insecta; Diptera; Culicidae.
GCCUCAAGUUAUGUGUGACAACCCCCUGAAUUUAAGCAUAUUAAUAAGGGGAGGAAAAGAAACCAACCGGGAUUCCCUGAGUAGCUGCGGGCGAAACGGGAGAAGCUCAGCACGUAGGGAUGGCGGCCCGCCCGUCUAUCCGAUUCCGUGUACUGGUAUGUCUCACUAUCCGUCUUCCUAGUGGUAUUCAAGUCCAACUUGAACGUGGCUUUGAACCCAUAGAGGGUGAUAGGCCCGUAGAACACCACCCAGCGGUUGAUGGACCGAGCGUACCAUGGAGUCGUGUUGCUUGAUAGUGCAGCACAAAGUGGGAGGUAAACUCCUUCUAAAGCUAAAUACGACCAUGAGACCGAUAGUAAACAAGUACCGUGUGGGAAAGUUGAAAAGCACUCUGAAUAGAGAGUCAAAUAGUACGUGAAACUGCCGAGGGUGUAAAGCCUGUUGAACUCGAUUAUCCGUAGUUCCUGGCAUCGUGGGUUUUGGCUGUCACGCAGAAGGGGGCCUUCUGUAUGCCUUGACCCUAGCCAGGAACGAGUGCGGACAUCGUGAUCCAUUACGCAAACCAAAUGCGAGCGGCGACUCCGGUUGCUGCGAGCAUAUCCAACAUCAGGUCCCAGAACAUGCGGUCGACCCUCUAGUAGUGGCGCUCAGCUUAAGGCCGGCGUCGCGAACGGGGGAUCGAGGCUCCGGUCUCGAGUUCGGCUAGUUCCGGUGUGCCGUUGGAUGCGUGAUGGGCAUUGAAGUGAACUAGAGAAGUGUGAAGCGCAUGUUUGGGCAUGUUCAAGGGCGAAAGCCUGAGCCGAGCACGACUCCGGAUCUACGAUGUACUAACUAAUCGAGGUGCCUACGGGACCCGUCUUGAAACACGGACCAAGAAGUCUAUCUUGCGCGCAAGUCAAUGGGAGUAGCAAACCCAAAGGCGAAGAUAACACAACUGCAAAGUCGUUGCGGGAUUACGGGUGCACCACAGUCCGCGAGGACUGGCUAGCUGUGCCGCCCCUCCAUCCCCGGGUGUUUAGCAACGGAUCUGUAGUGCCGCGGACCCCCCGACAGGGGUGGGCAUUUGCAGAGCCAACGCGACAUACCGCGAGCGCGCAGGAUGUGACCCGAAAGAU